AGCUUCCUAUGCAUAAGCCAUAUUUGUUGUUGUUUUCUAGCGAAAGAACCGACAACAAACAUGCAAUAAGUUUUUCUUUUAAAUGAAGUAAAACAUAUUUCAUAAAAAAAAAAAAAUCGAAGAGGAUAUGUUUACGACUUAGGAGUGAUUCACCCAAUAAUGGAAAUGCGUUGAAAAAAUCUUUCAAAGCAAUAACAAGAUGAAAGGAUAACAUGCAAGUUACUCAUUGUUUUCGUCGGGGCCAAAGCUCGGAAUAGUUUCGUCGUUUCUCACAAUAGCCUAAAAAAAAACGUUUUGAACCAUGCUUCUUCUCAAGAUGGAAACAAGUUUAUGUAAGUAAACUACUGAUUUUCAAAACUUUAAAAAGAGAUUUUAAAUCAUACUUCCUAUCAAGAUGGAAACAAGUUUAUGACCAAAUUCAUAUAUUUUUUUAAUGAACUAUUUGCAUGUAUCAGGACUUAUUAAAGAAUAGAAACAGGAAAUAUAUGUUUGUUAUGCCAGAAAGAAUUGUGUAAAGAGUUAUAUAUUAUAAAUAAAUUAAUUCACGAAAUGUAUACAAAAUUUUACGUUUCAUUAUAAAGAUAUUAACAUUUGUUGCAUCAACUAAAUGAAAAAACACAAAGAAUAUGCUUUUCGUCAAAACUAUUAAGAUUAAAAACAGAAAAUAUAUGUUUGUUAUGCCAGAAAGAAUUGUGUAAAGAGUUAUAUAUUAUAAAUAAAUUAAUUCACGAAUUGUAUACAAAAUUUUACGUUUCAUUAUAAAGAUAUUAACAUUUGUUGCAUCAACUAUAUGAAAAAACACAAAGAAUAUGCUUUUCGUCAAAACUACUCGUAUUAAGAUUAAAAACAAAAAAUAUAUGUUUGUUAUGCCAGAAAGAAUUGUGUAAAAAGUUAUAUAUUAUAAAUAAAUUAAUUCACGAAAUGUGUACGAAAUUUUACAUUUUAUUAUGAAGAUAUUAACAUUUGUUGCAUUAACUAUAUGAAAAAAACACAAAGAAUAUGCUUUUCGUCAAAACUUUCCAAUUUGU
This is a non-coding RNA of Parasteatoda tepidariorum (common house spider), 1028 nucleotides long. The record is from RefSeq and is a predicted model, not a curated record. NCBI's taxonomy places the organism in Eukaryota, Metazoa, Arthropoda, Arachnida, Araneae, Theridiidae.